AAACACCUUCGGGUGUGAAUUAGCGGCGAACGGGUGAGGAACACGUGAAGAAUCUGCCUUCAACUCUGGGAUAACUCCGGGAGACCGGGGCUAAUACCGGAUAUGAGCCUUGAUCGCAUGAUCGGGGCUGGAAAGUUUUUCGGUUGAAGAUGACUUCGCGGCCUAUCAACUUGUUGGUGAGGUAAUGGCUCACCAAGGCGACGACGGGUAGCCGGCCUGAGAGGGCGACCGGCCACACUGGGACUGAGAUACGGCCCAGACUCCUACGGGAGGCAGCAGUGGGGAAUAUUGGGCAAUGGAGGAAACUCUGACCCAGCGACGCCGCGUGAGGGAUGAAGGCCUUCGGGUUGUAAACCUCUUUCAGUAGGGAAGAAGCGAAAGUGACGGUACCUACAGAAGAAGCACCGGCUAACUAUGUGCCAGCAGCCGCGGUAAUACAUAGGGUGCAAGCGUUGUCCGGAAUUAUUGGGCGUUAAGAGCUCGUAGGUGGUUCGAUACGUCGGAUGUGAAAAUCAGGGGCUCAACCCCUGACCUGCAUCCGAUACGGUCGAGCUGGAGUUUGGUAGGGGAGACUGGAAUUCCUGGUGUAGCGGUGGAAUGCGCAGAUAUCAGGAGGAACACCGAUGGCGAAGGCAGGUCUCUGGGCCAAUACUGACACUGAGGAGCGAAAGCGUGGGGAGCGAACAGGAUUAGAUACCCUGGUAGUCCACGCCGUAAACGGUGGGCGCUAGUUGUGCGAACCUUCCACGGUUUGUGCGACGCAGCUAACGCAUUAAGCGCCCCGCCUGGGGAGUACGAUCGCAAGAUUAAAACUCAAAGGAAUUGACGGGGCCCCGCACAAGCAGCGGAGCAUGCGGCUUAAUUCGA
This 867-nucleotide ribosomal RNA is filed under the name uncultured Actinomycetales bacterium. RNAcentral describes it as "bacterial SSU rRNA". It matches the Rfam family "Bacterial small subunit ribosomal RNA", at positions 72 to 954 of the family's 1533-position model. Lineage: Bacteria; Bacillati; Actinomycetota; Actinomycetes; Actinomycetales. The record is from RNAcentral.